RNAcentral lists this small RNA (542 nucleotides) under Pan troglodytes (chimpanzee). RNAcentral's name for it is "processed transcript". The record is from RNAcentral. Lineage: Eukaryota; Metazoa; Chordata; Mammalia; Primates; Hominidae.
AGCUUGAUGACUAUAAUGGGCCCAAUUGUCUGCGGGCUGCGGGGAGCUGAGUCCCCAGAUUGGAGGAGGCUGGCUGUGGUCUUCGAUGCACAGGAGUGGCCGUUAUGGAACGCAGGAGCUGUGCUUGCUUAUAAUGAACUGUCAUGAUGGAGGCCGGCCCAUUUCAGCUCUCUCAGCCCCGUCAAGCUGAACUCACUUCCCCUGAAAGGACAGUGUUUGCAUUUGUGUUUACGGGACUGGGGAAGAGGAUGCGUUUUCAGGAGACCUGAAAACCGAGCCAACCCCCUUUUCCUGCCCCCCUGUGCUGCGAUUGGCCCAUCUUGGAGGCUGGCUGCAGGAGCCUUUAGUCAUCGCACAGGGAAAUCUUUCUGGAACCGGGCACCAACUUGCGUGUUUGUUUUCAUGCUCUUUGUGCGGGGAUUAGCUGUCGUGCCGGGCCUGAAAAUGCUGCGAGCGCCCGGCGACAUCUAAUCCAGGAUUUGCCUCUGCCUCGCGGUUGAUGGAAAACAGAUGUCUCACUGCUCUGGGCCUGAGCACAGAAU